This 1813-nucleotide small RNA is filed under the name Arabidopsis thaliana (thale cress). RNAcentral describes it as "ATSL095030". Lineage: Eukaryota; Viridiplantae; Streptophyta; Magnoliopsida; Brassicales; Brassicaceae. The record is from RNAcentral.
AAACCUGGCAUCUCCUCCGGAGGUCGACCAGGUCGUCAUUCGUCAUCUGCGUGCCUCUCCCUUGCUUGGCAGCCUUUUUCUUCUUCGGCUUGUCGGCUCUGAUUGACGGCGGACGAAUUGGACCCAUUCCGCCUAGGGUUAUGCCGCGUCUUUGUACUCGCGGCAGUGACGCCGCCGACCUCGUCUCGAACGAACUUGAAUCGUCGCCGUAACUGUGGUUGCUUUUGUUCUGAGAAUCUUCGAAGUCGCUUAUCUUUGGGUUUCGACGGAGAAAGACGAGAGAGAUGAAAGAAAAGAGCAAUGAAGGCAGAUCGAGAAAGAGGGAAUAGCAGAAAAACGAAGGAGAUAGCAAAAAAAAUAAAGGCGAGAUUUUUCUACGUCUACAAAACAAAGCGCAGUAAAUAAUAAAGGAGGAGAGAAGUUACCUUGAGAGUUGUGUGAGUUGACGUGACGUCAAGUGGAGAGAUGGGAAGUUAUUUAAAGCCAUCAUCACCAUAAUUUUCGAGAUUCCAGAGAUCUCUUCUCCGCGUCCGAUCUGGACCGUCAGAUGCGGUGCGCUGAAGAGAUGCUCCAUCUCAGCCGUCCACAUCAGUAGCGACUCAUCUCGCGUAUCUCCUCGAAAUCUUUCGGUUGGGGGGAAUCUGAAAUUAAAUCGAAAUUGUUGAGUUUAUCCUCAAAACCGACUGAUCUUGUCACAUUUAUCUCCUCAUCAAGAAUAUUUUCGCAAUCUUACCUGACCUAUAUGUCCGCACAUCGUGUUCGCCUACUCACUCAAUGGGCUGGAGGGCAAAUGUUGGAGCUCGAUUCCCCUCCAGGAAUCCACCUGCGAAAAUACCAAGCCAGCCAACGAAAGCCCACCAAGCCCACUAAGUAGAGGACAUACGCAGCUGACGAGCCCACAUACGCGAAUGGGUAUUUGGGCUAGAUAAGCCCAGUCACCUGAUGCAGGGAGAUAAGCGAAUAAUGACCUCGGAACUGACGAGGAGAUAUUCGCGGAGCUGACCUGAUAUCUCGGAACUGACCUGCCGAAUAUCCAGGAGGAUCUCCGCAGAUCCCGGACGGAGCUACCACGUGCGUAGACCUAUAUAAGGGAGCUAGGACGACUUGGAAGAGACAUUCAAUCCAGCUUACAUUGAUACACACACUUUUACACUUGUAAUCCCUUUUCACAUUAUAAAAGCUUUGUCAUAAUUAAUACAAAAGUCCAUUCGUUCUUACCAAUACAACUCUCAAGGUUUCAGUGAAGAUCUAGGCCUCCUUUCUCAUAAUCUUAAAUACAAAUCUCUAGUGUGGAUUUCAGAACCCAAAAUAGCUUUGCAUACAUAUUGCAUUUCUGAGUUGUUUUCAGGUGAUUUGGAGCUGUUGGCAAGCAAAGUGGAAGAAGCGAGCCAGAAUCAGAGGACAUACUCGACCUCCAGGCCGUGUACAUCUAGCACCAUACUCGACCCCCUGGUUGAGUAUCUUUGGAGCCAUUCUUCCCAUCUACUCGACCGCGUGGUCGAGUAACCUCAGCUCAGGCCACUCGAUGACGCCACUCGACCCUGUGGUCGAGUAUCACUUCGCCAUACCACCUGACCACACUCGACUGUUCACUCUACCACGUUACUCGACCCCUGGUCGAGUAUCAUCACUCACCACCAAUACCAUCACUUGACCAAGCACUCGAUCACAUCUUCGGAGUCUACUCAAAUCCGCACUCAACCAGACAAGCUGAGCACAAGGAAGAGAAGAGGAGAAGACGAAGUGUUUGGAAGCGGCUUGGACCUCCAUCGGAUCACGAAGCCCAUCUCGGCCCAUUAUCACUCUAUGGGCG